AACGAACGCUGGCGGCAUGCCUAACACAUGCAAGUCGAACGAGAUCUUCGGGUCUAGUGGCGCACGGGUGCGUAACGCGUGGGAAUCUGCCCUUUGGUUCGGAAUAACAGUUGGAAACGACUGCUAAUACCGGAUGAUGACGAAAGUCCAAAGAUUUAUCGCCAGAGGAUGAGCCCGCGUAGGAUUAGCUAGUUGGUGUGGUAAAGGCGCACCAAGGCGACGAUCCUUAGCUGGUCUGAGAGGAUGAUCAGCCACACUGGGACUGAGACACGGCCCAGACACCUACGGGAGGCAGCAGUGGGGAAUAUUGAACAAUGGGCGAAAGCCUGAUCCAGCAAUGCCGCGUUAGUGAUGAAGGCCUUAGGGUUGUAAAGCUCUUUUACCCGGGAUGAUAAUGACAGUACCGGGAAAAUAAGCUCCGGCUAACUCCGUGCCAGCCGCCGCCGUAA
This 449-nucleotide ribosomal RNA is filed under the name uncultured bacterium. Its description in RNAcentral is "partial 16S ribosomal RNA". It matches the Rfam family "Bacterial small subunit ribosomal RNA", at positions 29 to 523 of the family's 1533-position model. The record is from RNAcentral.